AAAACAACCCUUCCGCCAGAGGACUACUAGCAACAAGCUUAAAACUCAAAGGACUUGGCGGUGCUCUACCCCACUAGAGGAGCCUGUCCUAUAACCGAUACUCCCCGAUCCACCCAACCUCUGCUAGCCAAGAACAGCCUAUAUACCGCCGUCGACAGUUUAUCUUACAAAAGACCAAAAAUAAACAGAAUAGCCCCCCGCUAAAACGACAGGUCAAGGUGUAGCUUAUGAAGAGGAAGAGAUGGGCUACAUUUCCUACCAACCAGGACAGACGAAAAAUAUCACGAACACGAUAUUAAAAGGUGGAUUUAGCAGUAAAAUAAGGA
Molecule: ribosomal RNA, 326 nt
Filed under: Lanthanotus borneensis (Borneo earless monitor)
Lineage: Eukaryota; Metazoa; Chordata; Lepidosauria; Squamata; Lanthanotidae
Description: partial 12S ribosomal RNA
Rfam family: Bacterial small subunit ribosomal RNA
Source: RNAcentral